Molecule: long non-coding RNA, 211 nt
Filed under: Panax ginseng (ginseng)
Lineage: Eukaryota; Viridiplantae; Streptophyta; Magnoliopsida; Apiales; Araliaceae
Description: long non-coding RNA (PGIN_LNC013005)
Source: RNAcentral
CCUUCGACCAUGUAAAAAAAGGUAUAAAAUAUAUCUUUCAUAUAAACUAAUAAAAAUUUAAGUGAAGGAGACUAGCGGGAGAAUAUCAAUAACUUUAUGGAUCCCAUCUACAUUAAAAAAAAAAAAAAAAAAAAAAAAAAAAAAAAAAAAAAAAAAAAAAAAAAAAAAAAAAAAAAAAAAAAAAAAAAAAAAAAAAAAAAAAAAAAAAAAA